GUUAAAUGGCCUCAGCAAAAGGAUGAUACCGCGAUAUCUGACGGCCUGACGUAAUUAAAGUGCGCGAGCGGAAGUGGCGUGGAAUAUGACCGAAAAAUCGGCGUGGUUGGUCGCUUAAGAACCAGCGGGAAAGACAAAAAGCUGCGGUUUGAUGUCUGCUUGGUGAACUAUGUCGUUCCUACCUUUCUUCUUCUCUGAGCGGCCUCCAUACGGACAAGAAACCCUGUAAAAUGUGCUUUCCUCUGUGUUGUGUUUGGAAGGCAGCAGAUGUCUCCUGAAUUCUGGGCCGACUGGACAUUUCUGUUUAGAUAUAACGUGAACACCGAAACUUCAGAAUGCCAAAAGCAAGUUCAAAGACUGUCACCACAAAUCUGUUCCUUUGUGUGCCGUUCCUAUCUCAGUGAAGGAUCCCGUCACCUACUCAGUUGUCAAUGUGAAAAAUGAGAACAUGUGGAAUGCUGUGCAGAGCACUAGUAACCAAACAAGAGCAGAUUAGAUCAGUAGAGAUCAUCAACUGUUGUUUCCCUUGCAUUUCCACACCAGGAGCCAACUCUUGUGCUAUGACUGAAUGGGUCCAUAUAUCGGAUUUCUCUUUAAUGCUAUUGUACCCAGAUCGUUAGAUCCCAGCAGAGACCCCCAGAGAGUCGAUCACACCAAGCUGCAAAAAGCAAGGUUUAUUCGGGAGUACAAGCCGCGACAGGGACCCUAUCCAACCAACCAGCACAGCAGAGGAAGGAGUGAGGCCCCGGUCUUUGGGAGAGUUUUUAAAGGAAAAAAAAAAAAGGGGGUGUUACAUCAGCAGGAAAAACAGAGUUGCAUCAGCGGGGGCUUACAGCACGGAGCUUUGGGUACAGGGAGUUACUUUGUUUAGCAAUCUCUACUGCGCUCUCCUAGGUCUACUGAGCUAGCUGUCCCUGGUAAGCUUUGAUAUCUCCGGAAUGCCUGAAUGCCUGCUUUUACAAGGACCCGGGUCUGCUAUGGGAAAUGGAGGCUGCUUUUUUUAUUGUUUUAAAAUGGAGUCACUUUGGCUCUUCAAUGCUUUAGUCUUAGUAUAAUGGAUUCUGCCAGAUGGGGACUCAGGAAAUGUUUGUAAUUUAUUCUGGACAAAUGAAUAGCUUUUCUCAGUCCUCCCUUUCCUUAGAAUGUAAGAUCAGUUUCCUAUACCUACAGUUUAGGAGUCCACCUUUUACAUUUUAUUAUACUUGCUCCAUCAUUUAUUUGUCACGUUAUUCAUCCAUACAUCUCUUUUUUGUUGUUGGGUGCUUUUCAAAGUGAAUUGUUUGGGGGCCGGCAUUGGUGUAGUGGGUAAAGCUUCCACCUGUACUGACAGCAUCCCGUAUGGACACCAGUUGGAGUUCCAGCUGCUCUACUUCCUAUCCGGCUUUCUGCUGUGGCCUGGGAGGGCAGUAGAAGAUGGCCCACGUCCCUGGGCUUCUGCACUGGUGUGGAAGAUCGAGAAGAAGCUUCUAGCUCUUGGCUAUAGAUCGGCUCAGCUCCAUCCAUUGCAGCCAUCUGGGGAGUGAAACAGCAGAUGGAAAAUUUUCUCCCUCUCUCUCUGCCUCUGCCUCUUUAUAACUCUGCCUGUCAAGUAAAUAAAUAAAUCUUUUUUUUUAAAAAAAGUGAAUUGUUUGUAUAAUUUUGAACAUUCCCUUUUCGAUACUUCUAUUUCUGUCUUUCAUUCACAGCUUUGGACUUCUGACUUUAAAGAUUUAUUUUACGUAUUUGAAAGGCAGAGUCAGAGAGAAGGAGAGAGAGAAAGAGAGAGAAAUCUUCGAUCUACUGGUUCACUCCCCAAAUGGCUGCAAUGGCUACGGCUGGGCCAGUCCAGGUCUUCCAUGUGGGUGACAGGGGCGUAAGUACUUGGGCCAUCUUCCCCUACUUUCCCAGGUGCAUUAGCAGGGAACUGGAUCAGAAGUGGAGCAACUGGGACUCAAACUGGUGCCCAUAUAUGAUGCCAGCAAUGCAGGUGGCUUAACCUACUGCAGUACAAUGCUGGCCCCAAACUUCUGAUACUGAUGUGUGUCUAAAAUAAAUCCACAUCUGACUUGCUUGCCUGACACCUGUUCCCUAAUUAAUGAGAAGUCUCAGCAGGCUGCAGAUUCAGGUUCUAAUCCACAUCUUCCAUUAUAUGAUUUGGUUGUGCAAAUUGUGUCCCAUUUUUCAGUAACUUGCUUCACGUACUUUUGUCACUGCACACAAAGAAUUCCAGAUAACAAGGUUUGAAUCCAGAGAAGUGAGAGGGGAGCUCUCUUGAUUCACUUUAAACCUAUCUUGACUCACCUCAAUUUUGACUUUGAAUUCUCUUUACCUUUCAUGUAUGAAGCAUGCAAACUGGAUCUCAUGGUUUCAUGUCAACAUCAGUCAUGUCAACAUUUUGUCUCCAGAAUUCCCAGAGAUACAUAGCAAGCUCUACAGAUGGUCUAAUUUUUUUUUUUUUUUUUUGACAGAGUGGACAAUGAGAGAGAGAAAGAGAGAAAAGUCUUCCUUUUCCGUUGGUUCACCCCCCAAUGGCCGCUGCGACUGGCGCGCUGCAGCCUGCGCACCACUCUGAUCCGAAGCCAGGAGCCAGGUGCUUCUCCUGGUCUCCCAUGGGGUGCAGGGCCCAAGGACUUGGGCCAUCCUCCACUGCACUCCCGGGCCAGAGCAGAGAGCUGGACUGGAAGAGGAGCAACCAGGACAGAAUCCGGCGCCCCGACCACGACUAGAACCCAGCAUGCUGGCGCCACAGGCAGAUGAUUAGCCUAUUGAGCUGUAGCGCUGGCCAACAGAUGGUCCUCUUGAAGUCUCGGUUUGAAUACUCUACCACCCACCCUCAUGUUAGCAUCUUAAUAACUACUCACUAAUUUCCAAUUCUGUCUUCAAUUUUAGCCCUUAUGUACUCUCAGAGAUGAGGGGACAAGGGUUUCAGAAUCUGUUUCCUACCACUCCUUUCUCAUUUCCAAAUGAUAUUUUCAUCUUUCUUGCCUCAUUUUGGUUAUAGGGAUACCUGGCAUCUGUUUUCAAGGAGGCUUAGCAGAAACUGAAAGUAACUCCACUUUAACAUUCUGUUGUAUUGGUAUCAUAUAUCAGAUAAUGAGUUCUGUAUUUUCUCAGUUAAUAUGAGUUGUAAGUAACAGGAGACCCAAAACAGGAUGGCCUAAACAAGUAAGGGGGUUUAUUGGUCUGGUUAAGUCGAAAGGAAGGGACUAAGUCUGACUUCAGGUUUCAUUUACUUGAUAGACUUACGGGUAGCAACAAUUGUGUUUUUUUUUUAUCGUUGUCUCCCUGAGGAGUCUUUUCAGACGUCUUCAUGCUCCUCCUCAAAGUUCUUUUUUUUUUUUUUUAAGAAUUUUCAAUAUUUGAAAGGCAGAAUUACAGAGAGAGGGAACCAUGCAUAUCUGAAAGCAGGAGCCAGGAACAUCAUCCAGAUCUCCCAAGUGGGUGGCAGGGACUCAAGCCCUGAACCCUAAUCUACUGCAUCUCAGGCACCUUAACAGAGAGCUAGAUUGGAAGCCAAGUAGCCGCAAGUUGAACAGGGACUGUUACAGGAUGUGGGCACCUACUGUGCCAGAGCACCUGCCCCUCCCUAAAGUUUUACUAUAAAAUAUACUUUAUA
Molecule: non-coding RNA, 3595 nt
Organism: Oryctolagus cuniculus (rabbit)
Lineage: Eukaryota; Metazoa; Chordata; Mammalia; Lagomorpha; Leporidae
Source: RefSeq, a predicted model, not a curated record